This 155-nucleotide non-coding RNA is filed under the name Coprobacter fastidiosus. Lineage: Bacteria; Pseudomonadati; Bacteroidota; Bacteroidia; Bacteroidales; Barnesiellaceae. The record is from RNAcentral.
UUCGUAAAAGCAAAUUAAAAGGGAAUCGGGUGCAAAUCCCGAACAGUCCCGCUGCUGUGAAGCUCUAUUCAACAUUCUGAAAAAACUGAGCCACUGGUCUAUGACCGGGAAGGCUUCAGAAUGGGAGUAAGUCAGAAGACCUGCCAUUCAUUAAA